RNAcentral lists this ribosomal RNA (253 nucleotides) under uncultured bacterium. RNAcentral's name for it is "partial 16S ribosomal RNA". It matches the Rfam family "Bacterial small subunit ribosomal RNA", at positions 524 to 776 of the family's 1533-position model. The record is from RNAcentral.
UACGGAGGAUGCAAGCGUUAUCCGGAAUGAUUGGGCGUAAAGCGUCCGCAGGUGGCUAUGUAAGUCUGCUGUUAAAGAGUGAGGCUCAACCUCAUAAGAGCAGUGGAAACUACAUGGCUAGAGUGCGUUCGGGGCAGAGGGAAUUCCUGGUGUAGCGGUGAAAUGCGUAGAUAUCAGGAAGAACACCGGUGGCGAAAGCGCUCUGCUGGGCCGCAACUGACACUGAGGGACGAAAGCUAGGGGAGCGAAUGGG